Small nucleolar RNA from Bos indicus x Bos taurus (hybrid cattle), 101 nucleotides. The record is from Ensembl. NCBI's taxonomy places the organism in Eukaryota, Metazoa, Chordata, Mammalia, Artiodactyla, Bovidae.
GUAUGAAAACACAUAAUACAAAAUAAAAUGACCUCACUUUAAAUGGGUAUGAUAGUAUGCUGUUUUUUCACAGCAUCCCAUUAUUAAAAGUGGAGACAGAU